UUUUUAAAUUGCUGUGGUAUUUUGACUAUACAAAGGUAUUGAAAUAAGAUUUUAAUUGAAUGCUAAGAGAAUGGAAUUUCAGAAAAAAACUUUUUUCAAGUUAAAAAUUGAAAUUUUUUUAAUUUGUGCAGAAACAAUUAUUAAUAUUAAGGACAAGAAGACCCUAUGAAUUUAUAAAUUUUAUUUAAUAUGUAACUACUAUUAAAAAAAUUUUGGCUGGGGCGGCGGAAAAAUAUUUAAAACUUUUUUAAAAUAAAAUGACCCAUUAUUAAUGAUUAUAUGUUAAAUACUCUAGGGAAAACAGCGUAAA
RNAcentral lists this ribosomal RNA (310 nucleotides) under Rhipicephalus sanguineus (brown dog tick). RNAcentral describes it as "partial 16S ribosomal RNA". Lineage: Eukaryota; Metazoa; Arthropoda; Arachnida; Ixodida; Ixodidae. The record is from RNAcentral.